UUUUUCUCUCCGUCUCUCUCAAUU
RNAcentral lists this small RNA (24 nucleotides) under Arabidopsis thaliana (thale cress). RNAcentral's name for it is "ATSL239890". The record is from RNAcentral. Lineage: Eukaryota; Viridiplantae; Streptophyta; Magnoliopsida; Brassicales; Brassicaceae.